UUUUCCUUUUUCUAUUUUUUCUUUUUCUUUUUCUUCUGAAAUUUCAUCAGACAUAAUAGUGGAAUCUAGUGCAUUAAUUUCUUUUUGUGUCUUACUGAUCUCUAUUUGUAAAUCUUUCAACUUUUUCUUGAGUAACUUCCGUUGCUCCAUAGAUAGCUUUCUAAGUGCUUCCAUUCCCUAGUUAGGGUAUCCGCUAAAUUAUUCUCUUCUCCUUUUAUGUGUAUUGCAACAAAAUCAAACUCCUGAG
This 247-nucleotide long non-coding RNA is filed under the name Nicotiana benthamiana. RNAcentral's name for it is "long non-coding RNA (NBEN_LNC003101)". Lineage: Eukaryota; Viridiplantae; Streptophyta; Magnoliopsida; Solanales; Solanaceae. The record is from RNAcentral.